Molecule: long non-coding RNA, 796 nt
Filed under: Mus caroli (Ryukyu mouse)
Lineage: Eukaryota; Metazoa; Chordata; Mammalia; Rodentia; Muridae
Description: lncRNA (MGP_CAROLIEiJ_G0005458.1)
Source: RNAcentral
GCCGCCACCAGGCAGCUGGCAGCGCGACCCAGCCACGCACUGGGAGCGCGCCCUCUCCCCAACUUCUCACCCUCGCCCUGGGUUCCGGGCCCCAGGCCCAGAGAAAAGCAAACAGAAAGAACUUCAAGAUUACAAAUAUCCGUCUCAUUUGAUGCUGAAUUACACGUGGACAGAUAAGAAAAGUGCUUUUGAUAUCAAUAACCUGAGGCAAGUGAAGUGGAAGUUUCUGGAUAUGUCAGGUGAUGCAGAUUUGACUCACAUGGUCUUUUGCUGAUACAGACUCAUUUGCCAUCUGAGGCAAGACCCCUGGGAGGACACAUGAUGUUUGGAGAGAGUAUAAAUAGGACUCAACGGAUAGUGAUGGAGUGCUUGCAUAGCUAGCUUUGCAAUGCUUUUGUGGCCUCAGUCUUCCUCUUCACUUCAUGGAGAUUGGCACAUCAGAUAACUUCUCCUGCUGACCCUUCUGGACCUGGUUACUCCUGCUGACUCCUGACAAUUCGGUGGAGGCCUGGCAGUUUCUGCUGGAUCGCGCCACUGCUGCUGAUUCAUGUUUGGUAGCCUGACACUGCUGAACUGGACUCCUGCUAUCCUACAACGGAGAUUGGAACUGCCUCAAAGAACUACUUCUAAACGGUGCUGCCAAACUGGAGUGAUUUUCCACAGAUAUAAUAGAACCCUGUUCCUGCCAAUUCAUAAGACAUAGUUGAUUUGUUUGUCUUCUACCCAAUGAAGCACUAAGAAGCAUAUUUCCUACUGUAUGAAAUUAUAUUUUCUUUUAUUAAAAAAGUUAAACGGU